This 483-nucleotide ribosomal RNA is filed under the name uncultured bacterium. RNAcentral describes it as "partial 16S ribosomal RNA". It matches the Rfam family "Bacterial small subunit ribosomal RNA", at positions 30 to 506 of the family's 1533-position model. The record is from RNAcentral.
AUUGAACGCUGGCGGCAGGCCUAACACAUGCAAGUCGAGCGGAUGAAGGGAGCUUGCUCCUGGAUUCAGCGGCGGACGGGUGAGUAAUGCCUAGGAAUCUGCCUGGUAGUGGGGGAUAACGUCCGGAAACGGGCGCUAAUACCGCAUACGUCCUGAGGGAGAAAGUGGGGGAUCUUCGGACCUCACGCUAUCAGAUGAGCCUAGGUCGGAUUAGCUAGUUGGUGGGGUAAAGGCCUACCAAGGCGACGAUCCGUAACUGGUCUGAGAGGAUGAUCAGUCGCACUGGAACUGAGACACGGUCCAGACUCCUACGGGAGGCAGCAGUGGGGAAUAUUGGACAAUGGGCGAAAGCCUGAUCCAGCCAUGCCGCGUGUGUGAAGAAGGUCUUCGGAUUGUAAAGCACUUUAAGUUGGGAGGAAGGGCAGUAAGUUAAUACCUGGCUGUUUUGACGUUACCAACAGAAUAAGCACCGGCUAACUUCGU